This 1500-nucleotide long non-coding RNA is filed under the name Anser cygnoides (Swan goose). RNAcentral's name for it is "lncRNA (ENSACDG00005003078.1)". Lineage: Eukaryota; Metazoa; Chordata; Aves; Anseriformes; Anatidae. The record is from RNAcentral.
AUGGCACCGGCUGCCGUGGGCGCGAGCUGGACCGGGACCAGCCCCAUCACCAUGCCCACCGCAACGACGGAGGCACGAGGGGGACCCACAUGGGGUCCUUGGUUGGAGACGGGGCCGGGGAAGCCAAAGCAGGCUGCAGGGCGGGGUCCCCAUCACUUCGGCCUAGGGGUGCCAGUGCCUGCAUGCCCCCCUACAGCACCGCGCCCCCCGAGCGGCCGCCCCGCGCGGUCCCACCCCGGGGCAGCCGUGGCUCAGCCGCGCUCCCAGCCAGGCGCUGCCGCGGUGGGCUCGCUGCCCGGCUGCUGCGGGGCUGCGGCUGGGAACCGGCACCGGCACCGGGGCCGCCCUGCACCGGGCUCUGCAGCCCCCGCGGCCCAGGGCAACGCUCGGCUCCUGGGGCCCAGACAGGAAGGAGACGUCACCGCCGCGGAGCGUAACUCAAACCAGAUGGGGCCGCGCUGUUUUCCAGGACCGCAGGGUGGUCACCGGCAGGAACUGGUCAAAGGCUGCCGGCAGGAAGCGGGCUGGGAGGGACGCCCUGGGCCGAGCGGUGACCCUGCCUGCGCAGCCUUAACCGCUUCGGGGCCAGCCGCGGCCGGAGGGGCACGGGACCCCGGGGGUGGACCCCACGUGCGUGGGGCUGGGGGCUCCGUGUGCAGGCUCAGCCGCUGCGGGGGCAGCGGGACCCCCCCCCAGCCUUUGCCUGGGCACAGAGCCUUGGGCAGUGCUGAAGCCGUGAGGACACCUCUGUCCUGUCCGUCCACCCAUCCGCUCCUCCAUCCAUCCGCCCACCCGAUCCCCCUUUCCUCCAGCUUCCCGUCCCCGUGUUUAGCUGCAGACCUCAGCUCCUGCCUGCCGGCCGUGCACCCUCAGGGGUUUAAUGCUCCCCCCCCAGCCGGUGCCCAGGACGCGGGGCUGCUCUCAGACCUGUACAUUUAUUUACAAGAAGCCGAGCGCGCAGGCAGCUCUCCCGCAUCGGGCAGGGCCCUGCAAGCCAUGCUGCUAGCCCGGGCAGGGGCCGGGGUGCCGAGCCCAAAGCCACAUCCACCUGCUGCCACCAGCGGGGCUGGGGGGCCGCCGCCUGCCCCCGUCUCUGCCCCGGGCCAAGCAGCAAGGGCUCCGCAGCAGCCACGGAGGGCACCGGCAGCCCCGGAGCGCGCACAGCCCUCACUCCAUGGCAAAAAAAAAAGCUGGGGGGGGAUCCCGGUGCCAGCCAGCACUGGGCAAGGCUGGAGGCCGCAAAGCUGGGGGCCGCUGUCCCCUGGCCGCGCUGCGAGGAGGGGGCUCACGGGAAUGGAAGAGCCACAGGGAGAGGGGGCGAGGGCUGGGCGAGGAGCGGGCGCAGCACCCGCUGCCCCGGCACGGCGGCCCCGGCACGGCCCCGCUGGCGGCGGGGGGACGCUGGCGGCCGGCAGUUCCUGUGUGUUGGUGGUCAGGGCUGAAGCAAUCCUUCCAGGAGCUGGGGCGGGGGGGGAGCGCGGCCCAGCUGGUCUGCAUUAG